RNAcentral lists this ribosomal RNA (756 nucleotides) under uncultured archaeon. RNAcentral describes it as "bacterial SSU rRNA". It matches the Rfam family "Archaeal small subunit ribosomal RNA", at positions 71 to 822 of the family's 1478-position model. The record is from RNAcentral.
GGCACCACCGGCGGACGGGUCAUUAACACGUCGGUAACCUACCCUCAGGAGGGGGAUAACCCCGGGAAACUGGGGCUUAUUCCCCCUAGGCCUGAGGUACUGGAAGGUCCUCAGGCCGAAAGGGACUUAUGUCCCCCCGAGGAUGGGCCGGCGGCCGAUUAGGUAGUUGGUGGGGUAAUGGCCCACCAAGCCGAAGAUCGGUACGGGCUGUGAGAGCAGGAGCCCGGAGAUGGACACUGAGACACGGGUCCAGGCCCUACGGGGCGCAGCAGGCGCGAAACCUCCGCAAUGCGGGAAACCGCGACGGGGGGACCCCGAGUGCCGUGGCAACGCCACGGCUUUUCCGGAGUGUAAAAAGCUCCGGGAAUAAGGGCUGGGCAAGGCCGGUGGCAGCCGCCGCGGUAAUACCGGCGGCCCGAGUGGUGGCCGCUAUUAUUGGGCCUAAAGCGUCCGUAGCCGGGCCCGUAAGUCCCUGGCGAAAUCCCACGGCUCAACCGUGGGGCUUGCUGGGGAUACUGCGGGUCUUGGGACCGGGAGAGGCGGGGGGUACCCCUGGGGUAGGGGUGAAAUCCUAUAAUCCCAGGGGGACCGCCAGUGGCGAAGGCGCCCCGCUGGAACGGGUCCGACGGUGAGGGACGAAGGCCAGGGGAGCAAACCGGAUUACAUACCCCGGGUAGUCCUGGGCUGUAAAGGAUGCGGGCUAGUGUCGGGUGAGCCUCCAGCUCGCCCGGUGCCGUAAGGGAAGCCGUUAAGCCC